UUGGCAAAUCCACCACUUCUCCUUUGUUUGCCUGUCUCCUUCCUCGCGCGGUUCUACCAUUAGAUCCUUUUCUGCUUGCUCCAUUCUGUGACUUUUCAUGAACAGCACAAGUUUCAGACUCAUUGUUUUCAUUUGAACAAAGCAAUACCCUAUCAAACAUCUCCGACUGCUCAGACUCUGCAAGAGAAAUAGCAGAAUGCUUGUUGUUCCUCCCUUCUUCUAAAUAAUCACCGUCCUCACGUUGAUGAUUUUUCCUUCCCUGUGAACUAUUUGGUGAGUAAUCUCUCUCCAUGUCUGAGUUGCUCUUUGGUGCCAAUACCAAAGAAUCA
RNAcentral lists this unclassified non-coding RNA (329 nucleotides) under Hevea brasiliensis (rubber tree). The record is from RNAcentral. Lineage: Eukaryota; Viridiplantae; Streptophyta; Magnoliopsida; Malpighiales; Euphorbiaceae.